GUGUUCACUUUGGCAGCUCAUAUACUAAAAUUAGAACAAUACAGAGAUUAUUAGCAUGGCCCCUCUGCAAGAAUGACAUGCAAAUUUAUAAAGUGUUCCAUAUAUUU
Small nuclear RNA from Pteronotus mesoamericanus, 107 nucleotides. The record is from RefSeq and is a predicted model, not a curated record. Lineage: Eukaryota; Metazoa; Chordata; Mammalia; Chiroptera; Mormoopidae.